GUGAAGGUUGGAUUACCCUGGGGAAUGUUCUCAAAAUACUCAGACUCAGCCCUCCUCCCAGACAUUUCUCAUUCAGCAAGUCUGGGAUGAGGCCUGAGCCGGUGAUCUGGGACAAGCACUGCAGGCGAGUCUAAUGUGCAGCUCAGACGACCAUGUCUCGUCAAAGGAAAUGGUUCCUUAGGCCUGUACAAUACGGUGCUGAGUUAUUUUAACCUGAUGCAAAUGUAAAAUUCAGAGAUUUCACAUGGACAUCUCAAUUUCCAACUUCUCUUGAAAAAUUCCUCAACAACAGCUGGUGGGAGCUGAAUAGGGAGACUCCUCCGUCUAGGGAGCAUGUGAACUGUCCACUUCAACAAAGGGGUCACUGCUGCUUGCUGUCUCACGUCCUGCUAACUUCACUCCAAGCCACAGGUGGCUUGAGGCAAUGGACAAAGCAGCCCAUCCUGUCCGCCAGCUAAUGUGUUUCUGCUAUUUAUCUCCACCUUCGUUCUGCUUUUCUCCUCGGAUGGGGAAAGGAUCCAAUUAGAUGUCAUGCAGUCCACCCUGGGACUUCUCAGAUCUGCUCUACAAGCUGGGAAAGAGGAUUUUAGAACCACAUCUGGGAAGAGGUCACUCUGCACAACAGUAGCCUGCCGCCCCUGGCUAUCAAGAGCCCAGAGUGGCUGGGCCUUCUGCACCAACUGGACCGAAGCACCGACAUGUGGGUCCAACGCUGCUGCAUUCUGAAAGAUGGCUGCUUGUACUUCUACACUAGCAUUCGCUCCACCCAGGCCUCAGGUGGCCUAUAUCUGCAAGGAUAUAGGGUGAAUGAGCAGACCCUUAGCUUCAAGCAGUCAGUAAUUGAACUCAAACCUCCAUCUGAAGAGUUCAAGUCUUUCUAUUUCUGUGCAGAAAAUAAAAGAGAAAACGAACGGUCCCUGGAAAACAACUGCCAGGUACACAAAGCUGCUGUCCUCGCUGUGGAGCUGACCUCCUAGUUGAGGAGUCUAGCAGUAAACCAGCGAUAUGAGAAAUUGAUGAAUUAGCAAAGGAGGGACUCAAGGUCGCCAGUGCAAACCCCACGGAAGGUGGAUGUAUUCAGCAGGAAGCACUGAGGCACCGAAGGAACUUGAGUGACCUGUAGAUUAAGGCCUACAGGUGUUAAAAGAAGAAUUGCCGUUCAAGCAAACUGCCAAAAACCAACUCACUCUAGAUACUCUGGAAAAUUCAGUACUGAAAACAAAGAAAGAUGACCUUUCUGUUUUGGAUAUCACUAGCUGUAUGUAUUUUUUCCAGUUCUGCCAGGAAUUCAUUGGCAAAAGCAAGUUGACAACUGAGGUAAUACCUGGAAAGACUCACCUUAAACCCUUCCAUGACUCAUCUUUUUUUCUACCAUCUGUAAAUAAGAAUAAAAAUAUACCACUUCUUAAUUAUUUCUAUGUAUGUUAUUCACUGGCAAAAUUGAUAUUUAAGCUGAUUUCCCUUCAACAUGCUUCUGAAGGGAAAUCACCAGUCACCAACUGACUUGUACUGAGACAAUACAAAUGUAUUUUAUUAAUAAUAUCAACCUAACUAUUACAAAACAUGCUGUGGAAAAUACAUAUGUUGCCUAGAAUUAU
Molecule: RNA transcript, 1598 nt
Organism: Hipposideros armiger (great roundleaf bat)
Lineage: Eukaryota; Metazoa; Chordata; Mammalia; Chiroptera; Hipposideridae
Gene name: src kinase-associated phosphoprotein 2-like
Exons: 7
Source: RefSeq, a predicted model, not a curated record